This 497-nucleotide ribosomal RNA is filed under the name uncultured bacterium. Its description in RNAcentral is "partial 16S ribosomal RNA". It matches the Rfam family "Bacterial small subunit ribosomal RNA", at positions 28 to 507 of the family's 1533-position model. The record is from RNAcentral.
GAUGAACGCUGGCGGCGUGCCUAAUACAUGCAAGUCGAGCGAACAGACGAGGAGCUUGCUCCUUUGACGUUAGCGGCGGACGGGUGAGUAACACGUAGGUAACCUACCUAUAAGACUGGGAUAACUUCGGGAAACCGGAGCUAAUACCGGAUAAUAUUUCGAACCGCAUGGUUCGAUAGUGAAAGAUGGCUUUGCUAUCACUUAUAGAUGGACCUGCGCCGUAUUAGCUAGUUGGUAAGGUAAUGGCUUACCAAGGCAACGAUACGUAGCCGACCUGAGAGGGUGAUCGGCCACACUGGAACUGAGACACGGUCCAGACUCCUACGGGAGGCAGCAGUAGGGAAUCUUCCGCAAUGGGCGAAAGCCUGACGGAGCAACGCCGCGUGAGUGAUGAAGGUCUUCGGAUCGUAAAACUCUGUUAUUAGGGAAGAACAAACGUGUAAGUAACUGUGCACGUCUUGACGGUACCUAAUCAGAAAGCCACGGCUAACUACGUG